GAUCUGUGGCGCAACUGGUUAGCGCACCUGACUCUUAAUCAGGGGGUUGUGGGUUCGAUCCCCACCAGGUCC
This 72-nucleotide transfer RNA is filed under the name Kurthia senegalensis. It matches the Rfam family "tRNA". Rfam says of the family: Transfer RNA (tRNA) molecules are approximately 80 nucleotides in length. Their secondary structure includes four short double-helical elements and three loops (D, anti-codon, and T loops). The record is from RNAcentral. Lineage: Bacteria; Bacillati; Bacillota; Bacilli; Caryophanales; Caryophanaceae.